UACGAAGGGGGCUAGCGUUGCUCGGAAUCACUGGGCGUAAAGCGCACGUAGGCGGAUUGUUAAGUCAGGGGUGAAAUCCUGGAGCUCAACUCCAGAACUGCCUUUGAUACUGGCGAUCUCGAGUCCGGGAGAGGUGAGUGGAACUGCGAGUGUAGAGGUGAAAUUCGUAGAUAUUCGCAAGAACACCAGUGGCGAAGGCGGCUCACUGGCCCGCUACUGACGCUGAGGUGCGAAAGCGUGGGGAGCGAACAGG
RNAcentral lists this ribosomal RNA (253 nucleotides) under uncultured bacterium. RNAcentral's name for it is "partial 16S ribosomal RNA". It matches the Rfam family "Bacterial small subunit ribosomal RNA", at positions 524 to 776 of the family's 1533-position model. The record is from RNAcentral.